GGCUCAGGACGAACGCUGGCGGCGUGCCUAAUACAUGCAAGUAGAACGCUGAGGACUGGUGCUUGCACUGGUCUAAGGAGUUGCGAACGGGUGAGUAACGCGUAGGUAACCUACCUCAUAGCGGGGGAUAACUAUUGGAAACGAUAGCUAAUACCGCAUGACAAUAGGGUACACAUGUACCCUAUUUAAAAGGGGCAAAUGCUUCACUAUGAGAUGGACCUGCGUUGUAUUAGCUAGUUGGUAAGGUAACGGCUUACCAAGGCGACGAUACAUAGCCGACCUGAGAGGGUGAUCGGCCACACUGGGACUGAGACACGGCCCAGACUCCUACGGGAGGCAGCAGUAGGGAAUCUUCGGCNAUGGGGGGAACCCUGACCGAGCAACGCCGCGUGAGUGAAGAAAGGUUUUCGGAUCGUAAAGCUCUGUUGUUAG
Molecule: ribosomal RNA, 432 nt
Filed under: Streptococcus uberis
Lineage: Bacteria; Bacillati; Bacillota; Bacilli; Lactobacillales; Streptococcaceae
Description: bacterial SSU rRNA
Rfam family: Bacterial small subunit ribosomal RNA
Source: RNAcentral